RNAcentral lists this ribosomal RNA (513 nucleotides) under uncultured bacterium. RNAcentral describes it as "bacterial SSU rRNA". It matches the Rfam family "Bacterial small subunit ribosomal RNA", at positions 9 to 517 of the family's 1533-position model. The record is from RNAcentral.
GAGUUUGAUCGUGGCUCAGAUUGAACGCUGGCGGCAGGCCUAACACAUGCAAGUCGGGCGGUAGAGAGAAGCUUGCUUCUCUUGAGAGCGGCGGACGGGUGAGUAAUGCCUAGGAAUCUGCCUGGUAGUGGGGGAUAACGCUCGGAAACGGACGCUAAUACCGCAUACGUCCUACGGGAGAAAGCAGGGGACCUUCGGGCCUUGCGCUAUCAGAUGAGCCUAGGUCGGAUUAGCUAGUUGGUGAGGUAAUGGCUCACCAAGGCGACGAUCCGUAACUGGUCUGAGAGGAUGAUCAGUCACACUGGAACUGAGACACGGUCCAGACUCCUACGGGAGGCAGCAGUGGGGAAUAUUGGACAAUGGGCGAAAGCCUGAUCCAGCCAUGCCGCGUGUGUGAAGAAGGUCUUCGGAUUGUAAAGCACUUUAAGUUGGGAGGAAGGGCAGUAAAUUAAUACUUUGCUGUUUUGACGUUACCGACAGAAUAAGCACCGGCUAACUCUGUGCCAGCAGCCG